RNAcentral lists this ribosomal RNA (494 nucleotides) under uncultured bacterium. Its description in RNAcentral is "partial 16S ribosomal RNA". It matches the Rfam family "Bacterial small subunit ribosomal RNA", at positions 28 to 507 of the family's 1533-position model. The record is from RNAcentral.
GACGAACGCUGGCGGCGUGCUUAAUACAUGCAAGUCGAACGGUCAAGCGCCUUCCUUUUUGGUGGGUGGGGAUGAGCGGCGAACGGAUGAGUACCUCGUUAGUAACCUUCUCCCUCCUUCUUGAUAACCGCAUGCAGGUGUUGCUAAUACGUGAUAUUCUGGGUCUGUCGCAUGAUUAGUCUGGGACAGAUAUUGUUUCGGUUGUGGAUGGGCUCGCGGCGUAUCAGCUUGUUGGUGGGGUGAUGGCCUACCAAGGCGGUGAGGGGUAGCCGGCCUGAGAGGGUGGACGGUAACAGUGGGAAUACGACGCGGACAAGACUCCUAGAGGAAGCAGCAGUGAGGAAUAUUGCACAGUGGGAGGAAGGCUGGUGCAGCGACGCCGCGGGGAGGAUGGUGGCCGUCGGGUCGUGAACCUCUUUCGGGAGUGAAGCAGGCCGGCCUCGUUUGUGGGUGGGUUGACGGUAGCUGGACAAGAAGCGCCGGCUAACUACGUG